This 253-nucleotide ribosomal RNA is filed under the name uncultured bacterium. RNAcentral describes it as "partial 16S ribosomal RNA". It matches the Rfam family "Bacterial small subunit ribosomal RNA", at positions 524 to 776 of the family's 1533-position model. The record is from RNAcentral.
UACGAAGGGGGCUAGCGUUGCUCGGAAUCACUGGGCGUAAAGGGUGCGUAGGCGGGUCUUUAAGUCAGGGGUGAAAUCCUGGAGCUCAACUCCAGAACUGCCUUUGAUACUGGAGAGCUUGAGUCCGGAAGAGGUGAGUGGAACUCCGAGUGUAGAGGUGAAAUUCGUAGAUAUGUGGAGGAAUACCGGUGGCGAAGGCGGCCUCCUGGUUCAAUACUGACGCUGAGGUGCGAAAGCGUGGGGAGCAAACAGG